AUUGUUUCUUAUCCUUUUGGCUAAGAUCGAGUAUAGUAUCUGUUUUAUCAGUUUAAUAUCUAAUAUGUCCUCUAUCCCAGGACAUUAUAUGAAAUGAAUUUUUGGAGCUGGGAGAUGGAAUAGGAGCUUUACUUCGUCUACUUGCGCAUCAACCCAGUAUCGCUGUACUUCCUGAAACGGUGCACAAAAA
Molecule: small nuclear RNA, 190 nt
Organism: Artibeus jamaicensis (Jamaican fruit-eating bat)
Lineage: Eukaryota; Metazoa; Chordata; Mammalia; Chiroptera; Phyllostomidae
Product: U2 spliceosomal RNA
Exons: 1
Source: RefSeq, a predicted model, not a curated record